RNAcentral lists this transfer RNA (70 nucleotides) under Geomys breviceps. RNAcentral describes it as "tRNA-Asp". The record is from RNAcentral. Lineage: Eukaryota; Metazoa; Chordata; Mammalia; Rodentia; Geomyidae.
AAGGUACUAGUAAAAUUAUUACAUAACUUCGUCAAAGUUAAAUUACAGGAAUAUACUUCUGUGUAUCUUA